Molecule: long non-coding RNA, 442 nt
Filed under: Phaseolus vulgaris (common bean)
Lineage: Eukaryota; Viridiplantae; Streptophyta; Magnoliopsida; Fabales; Fabaceae
Description: long non-coding RNA (PVUL_LNC002896)
Source: RNAcentral
ACUGUAGUCACUCUGGUUGAAAUUGAAGGUUCUCACAGUAAAACUUGUUGAAUUGAGUAAUGGAAGGGAAUGCGAAAAGCGACCAAAUCGUGGAUGUAGGAUCGGUAGUGGAGGCCGUUUCAGUCGAUGACGGUGAUGCUCCUCUCUACAGCCUCGAAAGUCUUUGCAUGCGAUGUGGUGAAAACGUAAGCUUCUCCCCAUUCUCCGCCACCUUUUCCUUUUCCUUUGGCUUUUCAAUGAAUUCACUUUCUACUUUUUCGCGCACCUUUUGCGUGGUUAACUCAGGGAUUAAAUUCUCCAUUCUUUUACUCUCACUAGUGCAGAAAUGUAAAACAACGACCCUUUAUUUAGUGCGGCUUUGCGUUUAAACGCAUUUGUAAAAAACGCGGUGGCAUUUUUGUAAUUAAAUUGAUUUACAAAUGCGGUUCUAGGGUAAGACCGC